This 254-nucleotide ribosomal RNA is filed under the name uncultured bacterium. Its description in RNAcentral is "partial 16S ribosomal RNA". It matches the Rfam family "Bacterial small subunit ribosomal RNA", at positions 524 to 776 of the family's 1533-position model. The record is from RNAcentral.
UACGAAGGGGGCUAGCGUUGUUCGGAAUCACUGGGCGUAAAGCGUGUGCAGGCGGACCGUUAAGUCGGGGGUGAAAUCCCAGGGCUCAACCCUGGAACUGCCUUCGAUACUGGAGGCCUUCGAGUCCGGGAGAGGUGAGUGGAACUCCGAGUGUAGAGGUGAAAUUCGUAGAUAUUCGGAAGAACACCAGUGGCGAAGGCGGCUCACUGGCCCGGUACUGACGCUGAGAUACGAAAGCGUGGGGAGCAAACAGG